CAGAGGUCUCAACCGUUGUUCGGAUUCAUCGGGCGUAAAGGGUGCGUAGGCGGUCGUGCAAGUCGGAUGUGAAAUCUCAGGGCUCAACCCUGAAACUGCAUUCGAUACUGCGUGGCUAGAGUGGCUGGAGAGGAGACUGGAAUUUACGGUGUAGCAGUGAAAUGCGUAGAUAUCGUAAGGAAGACCAGUGGCGAAGGCGAGUCUCUGGACAGCAACUGACGCUGAGGCACGAAGGCCAGGGGAGCAAACGGGAUUAGAUACCCCGGUAGUCCUGGCAGUAAACGGUGCACGUUUGGUGUAGGCGGAUUCGACCCCGCCUGUGCCGGAGCUAACGCGUUAAACGUGCCGCCUGGGAAGUACGGUCGCAAGAUUA
RNAcentral lists this ribosomal RNA (373 nucleotides) under uncultured organism. RNAcentral describes it as "bacterial SSU rRNA". It matches the Rfam family "Bacterial small subunit ribosomal RNA", at positions 526 to 896 of the family's 1533-position model. The record is from RNAcentral.